CCUACGGGUGGCAGCAGUGGGGAAUAUUGCACAAUGGGGGAAACCCUGAUGCAGCAACGCCGCGUGAGUGAAGAAGUAUUUCGGUACGUAAAGCUCUAUCGGCAGGGAAGAAAAUGACGGUACCUGACUAAGAAGCCCCGGCUAACUACGUGCCAGCAGCCGCGGUAAUACGUAGGGGGCAAGCGUUAUCCGGAUUUACUGGGUGUAAAGGGAGCGUAGACGGCAGUGCAAGUCUGGAGUGAAAUCCCAUGGCUUAACCAUGGAACUGCUUUGGAAACUGUGCAGCUAGAGUGCAGGAGAGGUAAGCGGAAUUCCUAGUGUAGCGGUGAAAUGCGUAGAUAUUAGGAGGAACACCAGUGGCGAAGGCGGCUUACUGGACUGUAACUGACGUUGAGGCUCGAAAGCGUGGGGAGCAAACAGGAUUAGAUACCCGGGUAGUC
This 440-nucleotide ribosomal RNA is filed under the name uncultured bacterium. Its description in RNAcentral is "partial 16S ribosomal RNA". It matches the Rfam family "Bacterial small subunit ribosomal RNA", at positions 338 to 795 of the family's 1533-position model. The record is from RNAcentral.